UACGUAGGGGCGAGCGUUGUCCGGAAUGAUUGGGCGUAAAGGGAGCGUAGGCGGUUCGGUAUGUCGAAUGUGAAAGCCCACAACUCAACUGUGGAAAUGCAUUCGAAACUGCCGGGCUAGAGUACUGGAGAGGAGAGCGGAAUUCUUGGUGUAGCGGUGAAAUGCGUAGAUAUCAAGAGGAACACCGGUGGCGAAGGCGGCUCUCUGGACAGAUACUGACGCUGAGGCUCUAAAGUUAGGGGAGCAAACAGGAUUAGAUACCCU
This 264-nucleotide ribosomal RNA is filed under the name uncultured prokaryote. Its description in RNAcentral is "partial 16S ribosomal RNA". It matches the Rfam family "Bacterial small subunit ribosomal RNA", at positions 524 to 788 of the family's 1533-position model. The record is from RNAcentral.